ACUCCAGACUCCUACGGGAGGCAGCAGUGGGGAAUAUUGCACAAUGGGGGAAACCCUGAUGCAGCGACGCCGCGUGAGCGAUGAAGUAUUUCGGUAUGUAAAGCUCUAUCAGCAGGGAAGAAAAUGACGGUACCUGACUAAGAAGCCCCGGCUAACUACGUGCCAGCAGCCGCGGUAAUACGUAGGGGGCAAGCGUUAUCCGGAUUUACUGGGUGUAAAGGGAGCGUAGACGGUCCUGCAAGCCAGAUGUGAAAGCCCGGGGCUCAACCCCGGGACUGCAUUUGGAACUGUAAGGCUGGAGUGUCGGAGAGGCAGGCGGAAUUCCUGGUGUAGCGGUGAAAUGCGUAGAUAUCAGGAGGAACACCGGUGGCGAAGGCGGCCUGCUGGACUGCAACUGACGUUGAGGCCCGAAAGCGUGGGGAGCAAACAGGAUUAGAUACCCGCGUAU
RNAcentral lists this ribosomal RNA (448 nucleotides) under uncultured bacterium. RNAcentral describes it as "partial 16S ribosomal RNA". It matches the Rfam family "Bacterial small subunit ribosomal RNA", at positions 328 to 793 of the family's 1533-position model. The record is from RNAcentral.